UACGUAGGGGGCAAGCGUUAUCCGGAUUUACUGGGUGUAAAGGGAGCGUAGGCGGCGAUGCAAGUCAGAAGUGAAAGCCCGGGGCUCAACCCCGGGACUGCAUUGGAAACUGUCGCGCUCGAGUGUCGGAGAGGUAAGCGGAAUUCCUAGUGUAGCGGUGAAAUGCGUAGAUAUUAGGAGGAACACCAGUGGCGAAGGCGGCUUACUGGACUGUAACUGACGUUGAGGCUCGAAAGCGUGGGGAGCAAACAGG
Molecule: ribosomal RNA, 253 nt
Filed under: uncultured Lachnospiraceae bacterium
Lineage: Bacteria; Bacillati; Bacillota; Clostridia; Lachnospirales; Lachnospiraceae
Description: partial 16S ribosomal RNA
Rfam family: Bacterial small subunit ribosomal RNA
Source: RNAcentral